Polistes dominula (European paper wasp) is the source of this 600-nucleotide long non-coding RNA. Lineage: Eukaryota; Metazoa; Arthropoda; Insecta; Hymenoptera; Vespidae. The record is from RefSeq and is a predicted model, not a curated record.
ACAUUGUAUUGAUCACGUACACUUUGAAGAAAAAUAUUAAUUACCUCUCCAAUAAUAGAAGGACAAAUGAAGAUGAUGGUUCCCAUAAUUAAACAAAGGGGAGAAAAAAUACCUUUUACUUUCAAUAUCUACGGACAUGCGCAGAAGGAUUGUUGGAUUGCAAUCUUGGUCAGUUGCACUUCGACAGCGGUGCAGAACACUACUUUAAAAAUAAGAAAACUAUUUCUUGUUGCAAUGGUGAUUCCCAUAAUUAAAGGAGGGGAGAAAAAAUAUGUUUUACUUUCAAUAUCUAAGGACAUGCGCAGAGAGUUUGAAGGAUUGAAAUUUUGGUCAGUUGUACUUCGACAGCGGUGCAGAACACUACUUUAAAAAUAAGAAAACUAUUUCUUGUUGCAGUAAGUAAAAUAUAUUUAUCUUUAAAAUCAACAAAUAAUUAUAGUGUUUUUAAAAAAAAAGUGGAUUAGUUAGUGUUUUCGUAACAGUUUAAUAUAAGUGAUUAUAUAGAAAUAAAGAUCAAGGUAAAACAUGUUUCUUAGUUAGUUGAACAAACAUUUAAAAUAGUUUAGAUAAUAAUUGUUUGACAAAUACAAUUGAAGAUAA